AGAAUCAACGCUGGCGGCGUGCCUCAGACAUGCAAGUCGAACGAUUAAAGCUCUCUUCGGAGAGUGUAUAGAGUGGCGCACGGGUGAGUAACACGUAAGUAAUCUACCUUCGAGUGGGGAAUAACGUCCGGAAACGGACGCUAAUACCGCAUAAUGCAGCGGCAUCGCAAGAUGACUAGUUUAGUUAAA
This 189-nucleotide ribosomal RNA is filed under the name uncultured soil bacterium. RNAcentral describes it as "partial 16S ribosomal RNA". It matches the Rfam family "Bacterial small subunit ribosomal RNA", at positions 26 to 215 of the family's 1533-position model. The record is from RNAcentral.